ACUAAAUAGAUACCCAGGUAGUCCCAGCUGUAAACGAUGCAGACUCGGUGAUGAGUUGGCUACAUGCCAUCUCAGUGCCGCAGGGAAGCCGUUAAGUUUGCCGCCUGGGGAGUACGGUCGCAAGACUGAAACUUAAAGGAAUUGGCGGGGAGCACCACAAGGGUGAAGCCUGCGGUUCAAUUGGAGUCAACGCCGGAAAUCUUACCGGGGGCGACAGCAGUGUGAAGGUCAAGCUGAAGACUUUACCAGACAAGCUGAGAGGAGGUGCAUGGCCGUCGCCAGCUCGUGCCGUGAGGUGUCCUGUUAAGUCAGGUAACGAGCGAGACCCCUGCCUCUAGUUGCUACUAUUAUUCUCAGGAGUAGUGGAGCUAAUUAGAGGGACUGCCGUCGCUGAGACGGAGGAAGGAGGGGGCUACGGCAGGUCAGUAUGCCCCGAAACCCUCGGGCCACACGCGGGCUGCAAUGGUAAGGACAAUGAGUUUCGAUUCCGAAAGGAGGAGGCAAUCUCU
This 509-nucleotide ribosomal RNA is filed under the name uncultured bacterium. Its description in RNAcentral is "bacterial SSU rRNA". It matches the Rfam family "Archaeal small subunit ribosomal RNA", at positions 723 to 1232 of the family's 1478-position model. The record is from RNAcentral.